CGCGCGCCUUGUCUUGUGUGCCUCGCGAGGUAGAGCGGACGCGCGGCGGCGGCGGCGGCGGCGGGGAUCACUUUGCUGCUAGUUUCGGUUCGCGGCGGCGGCGGCGGGUGUCGUCUCGGCGGCGGCGGCAGCAGCGCUAUGUCGGAGGAGCAGUUCGGAGGGGACGGGGCGGCGGCGGCGGCCACGGCGGCGGUAGGCGGCUCGGCGGGCGAGCAGGAGGGAGCCAUGGUGGCGGCGGCGGCGGCGCCAGGGGCAGCGGCGGCGGGAAGCGGGAGCGGCGGCGGCUCCGCGGCCGGAGGCACCGAGGGAGGCAGCGCCGAGGCCGAGGGGGCGAAGAUCGACGCCAGUAAGAACGAGGAGGAUGAAGGCCAUUCAAACUCCUCCCCACGACACACUGAAGCAGCGACGGCACAGCGGGAAGAAUGGAAAAUGUUUAUAGGAGGCCUUAGCUGGGACACUACAAAGAAAGAUCUGAAGGACUACUUUUCCAAAUUUGGUGAAGUUGUAGACUGCACUCUGAAGUUAGAUCCUAUCACAGGGCGAUCAAGGGGUUUUGGCUUUGUCCUAUUUAAAGAGUCGGAGAGUGUAGAUAAGGUCAUGGAUCAGAAAGAACAUAAAUUGAAUGGGAAAGUCAUUGAUCCUAAAAGGGCCAAAGCCAUGAAAACAAAAGAGCCCGUCAAAAAAAUUUUUGUUGGUGGCCUUUCUCCAGAUACACCAGAAGAGAAAAUAAGAGAGUAUUUUGGUGGUUUUGGUGAGGUGGAAUCCAUAGAGCUCCCCAUGGACAACAAGACCAAUAAGAGGCGUGGGUUCUGUUUUAUUACCUUCAAGGAAGAGGAACCAGUGAAGAAGAUAAUGGAAAAGAAAUACCACAAUGUUGGUCUUAGUAAAUGUGAAAUAAAAGUAGCCAUGUCGAAGGAACAGUAUCAGCAACAGCAGCAGUGGGGAUCUAGAGGAGGGUUUGCAGGAAGAGCUCGUGGAAGAGGUGGUGGCCCCAGUCAAAACUGGAACCAGGGAUAUAGUAACUAUUGGAAUCAAGGCUAUGGCAACUAUGGAUAUAACAGCCAAGGUUACGGUGGUUAUGGAGGAUAUGACUACACUGGUUACAACAACUACUAUGGAUAUGGUGAUUAUAGCAAUCAGCAGAGUGGUUAUGGGAAAGUAUCCAGGCGAGGUGGUCAUCAAAAUAGCUACAAACCAUACUAAAUUAUUCCAUUUGCAACUUAUCCCAACAGCGGGAACUUCAUUGCAGGCCCUGUGUCGCGCUGACUUCACGAUUCUCACAGGCCCGCUCAAUGCGGACAGGGUACGAGAUGCUCACGCUCUCGAAUGCUGCCGUUUGGUGGUGAAGCAGUAUUUUCCAAUUUGAAGAUUCAUUUGAAGGUGGCUCCUGCCACCUGCUAAUAGCAGUUCAAACUAAAUUUUUUCUAUCAAGUUCCCGAAUGGAAGUAUGACGUUGGGUCCCUCUGAAGUUUAAUUCUGAGUUCUCAUUAAAAGAAAUUUGCUUUCAUUGUUUUAUUUCUUAAUUGCUAUGCUUCAGUAUCAAUUUGUGUUUUAUGCCCUCCCCAAACCCCCAGUAUUGUAGAGCAAGUCUUGUGUUAAAAGCCCAGUGUGACAGUGUCAUGAUGUAGUAGUGUCUUACUGGUUUUUUAAUAAAUCCUUUUGUAUAAAAA
RNA transcript from Alexandromys fortis (reed vole), 1670 nucleotides. It is a transcript of the gene named heterogeneous nuclear ribonucleoprotein D, with no coding region annotated. The record is from RefSeq and is a predicted model, not a curated record. NCBI's taxonomy places the organism in Eukaryota, Metazoa, Chordata, Mammalia, Rodentia, Cricetidae. The transcript has 10 exons.